RNAcentral lists this ribosomal RNA (377 nucleotides) under uncultured bacterium. RNAcentral's name for it is "bacterial SSU rRNA". It matches the Rfam family "Bacterial small subunit ribosomal RNA", at positions 523 to 898 of the family's 1533-position model. The record is from RNAcentral.
AUACGUAGGUGGCGAGCGUUGUCCGGAAUUACUGGGUGUAAAGGGCGUGUAGGCGGGGGAGUAAGUCAGAUGUGAAAUACCACGGCUCAACCGUGGGGGUGCAUCUGAAACUAUUUCUCUUGAGUGCUGGAGAGGAAAGCGGAAUUCCUAGUGUAGCGGUGAAAUGCGUAGAUAUUAGGAGGAGCACCAGUGGCGAAGGCGGCUUUCUGGACAGCAACUGACGCUGAGGCGCGAAAGCGUGGGGAGCAAACAGGAUUAGAUACCCUGGUAGUCCACGCCGUAAACGAUGGAUACUAGGUGUAGGAGGUAUCGACCCCUUCUGUGCCGGAGUUAACACAAUAAGUAUCCCACCUGGGGAGUACGGCCGCAAGGCUGAA